CGGUAACAUUUCUAGCUUGCUAGAAGAUGACGAGUGGCGGACGGGUGAGUAAUGCUUGGGAACUUGCCUUUGCGAGGGGGAUAACAGUUGGAAACGACUGCUAAUACCGCAUAAUGUCUUCGGACCAAACGGGGCUUAGGCUUCGGCGCAAAGAGAGGCCCAAGUGAGAUUAGCUAGUUGGUAGGGUAACGGCUUACCAAGGCGACGAUCUCUAGCUGUUCUGAGAGGAAGAUCAGCCACACUGGGACUGAGAUACGGCCCAGACUCCUACGGGAGGCAGCAGUGGGGAAUAUUGCACAAUGGGGGAAACCCUGAUGCAGCCAUGCCGCGUGUGUGAAGAAGGCCUUCGGGUUGUAAAGCACUUUCAGUUGUGAGGAAAAGUUAGUAGUUAAUACCUGCUAGCCGUGACGUUAACAACAGAAGAAGCACCGGCUAACUCCGUGCCAGCAGCCGCGGUAAUACGGAGGGUGCGAGCGUUAAUCGGAAUUACUGGGCGUAAAGCGCACGCAGGCGGUUUGUUAAGCUAGAUGUGAAAGCCCCGGGCUCAACCUGGGAUGGUCAUUUAGAACUGGCAGACUAGAGUCUUGGAGAGGGGAGUGGAAUUCCAGGUGUAGCGGUGAAAUGCGUAGAUAUCUGGAGGAACAUCAGUGGCGAAGGCGACUCCCUGGCCAAAGACUGACGCUCAUGUGCGAAAGUGUGGGUAGCGAACAGGAUUAGAUACCCUGGUAGUCCACACCGUAAACGCUGUCUACUAGCUGUGUGUGCCUUUAAGGCGUGCGUAGCGAAGCUAACGCGAUAAGUAGACCGCCUGGGGGAGUACGGCCGCAAGGUUAAAACUCAAAUGAAUUGACGGGGGCCCGCACAAGCGGUGGAGCAUGUGGUUUAAUUCGAUGCAACGCGAAGAACCUUACCUACACUUGACAUGCUGAGAAGUUACUA
RNAcentral lists this ribosomal RNA (939 nucleotides) under uncultured Alteromonas sp. RNAcentral describes it as "bacterial SSU rRNA". It matches the Rfam family "Bacterial small subunit ribosomal RNA", at positions 67 to 1002 of the family's 1533-position model. The record is from RNAcentral. Lineage: Bacteria; Pseudomonadati; Pseudomonadota; Gammaproteobacteria; Alteromonadales; Alteromonadaceae.